CCGGAUGCUUUAGAGACUAAAAUAAAAAGCCUCCCGAAAGAUGGCGCAUCUAAACAACUAGCACUAGUUAGUAGGCAAAACGCCGCAAAAGGAUCGGAAGAGAAAAAUACAACUCACAUAUUCAUCAGAUCACAUUGAAGCGACAUGAACACGAUAUGUAGGCGAAUUCAUGGAACCUUUAGUAGUGCCAGUACUUCCAAAGUAUAGAACUAGAGAUACGAUAUGGUAUUAGACGAUGGAAUAUGGAUGAUCAAGUCGGAAGUGUCACUGAGGAAGGCUCUUGUGCAUUAGAUAGAUCAUAGGUACGGUGUAGCUUGACGGUUCCUCUUUGGCUUGCGCUCUGAGCAGUCGCAGCAGAACCAGGCGCUCAGGAUGCGGCACAGGAUCUCGCACCGGAGGCGGCGCGGCGGCGUCUCGCUUCCAUCGCCGUUGUUGUUGCCGGCGACGUGGGGACCGUCCAUGCAAAAUCAAGCUGAACUGCUGAAGAUGAUGCUGCCUCUAGUGUUGAGAACUGACAAGAG
This 521-nucleotide long non-coding RNA is filed under the name Setaria italica (foxtail millet). Its description in RNAcentral is "long non-coding RNA (SITA_LNC002827)". Lineage: Eukaryota; Viridiplantae; Streptophyta; Magnoliopsida; Poales; Poaceae. The record is from RNAcentral.